This is a long non-coding RNA of Dermacentor andersoni, 483 nucleotides long. RefSeq lists it as uncharacterized. The record is from RefSeq and is a predicted model, not a curated record. NCBI's taxonomy places the organism in Eukaryota, Metazoa, Arthropoda, Arachnida, Ixodida, Ixodidae.
UUGUAUUCCGGUGCCAAAGGGCGGCGGCGGUCGUAGUACCGUCUUUGCCCCUAUUAGGCAUGCACAGACCUGUUGUGCGCCUCUGUUCGGAUGUUGAGGCAAAAGGCCUGACGUGCAAGGAACGUCCCAAGCGGAGUAUAGCGCCCAGCGUUGGAAGUUGGCCGUAAACAACCUCCUAAGGGCAUCAAAAGUACUCCUGUGGCUUGCGGAAAAUGGCUCGAUAUCCCACCUGCUCCACUUCGGGUGUAUCAGGGAUGUCACGAAAAUGCAAAAGCGACCGGACGGCCUUACAUAUUCCGAUUUAUGGGAGGGCGAGUGCAGUGGUCCAGUGAGAUGUGUUGACGGAGACGGGAGGCGUACAAUUUGUGUCUGCUAUAAAAAGUAAUGUAACAUGCCUUCUUUUAAUACCUUAUCAGGAUGGAUACCUUCUUAGGAUGCUUUCUCGGGAUGUGGCGGUGCAAAUGGAUGCAAAUCAAAUAAAGU